GACGAACGCUGGCGGCGUGCUUAACACAUGCAAGUCGAGCGGUAAGGCCCUUUCGGGGGUACACGAGCGGCGAACGGGUGAGUAACACGUGGGUGACCUGCCCUCAGCUCUGGGAUAAGCCUGGGAAACCGGGUCUAAUACCGGAUAUGACUCCAUGACGCAUGUUGUGGGGUGGAAAGCCUUGUGCGGCUGAGGAUGGGCCCGCGGCCUAUCAGCCUGUUGGUGGGGUGAUGGCCUACCAAGGCGACGACGGGUAGCCGGCCUGAGAGGGCGACCGGCCACACUGGGACUGAGACACGGCCCAGACUCCUACGGGAGGCAGCAGUGGGGAAUCUUGCGCAAUGGGCGAAAGCCUGACGCAGCGACGCCGCGUGAGGGAUGACGGCCUC
This 389-nucleotide ribosomal RNA is filed under the name uncultured bacterium. RNAcentral's name for it is "bacterial SSU rRNA". It matches the Rfam family "Bacterial small subunit ribosomal RNA", at positions 28 to 418 of the family's 1533-position model. The record is from RNAcentral.